RNAcentral lists this ribosomal RNA (840 nucleotides) under uncultured Bacteroidota bacterium. RNAcentral describes it as "bacterial SSU rRNA". It matches the Rfam family "Bacterial small subunit ribosomal RNA", at positions 32 to 865 of the family's 1533-position model. Lineage: Bacteria; Pseudomonadati; Bacteroidota. The record is from RNAcentral.
AACGCUAGCGAUAGGCUUAACACAUGCAAGUCGAGGGGCAGCAUGGUCUUAGCUUGCUAAGACUGAUGGCGACCGGCGCACGGGUGCGUAACGCGUAUGCAACUUGCCUCACAGAGGGGGAUAACCCGUCGAAAGACGGACUAAUACCGCGUACACUCCAGCUUGGGCAUCCAAGCUAGAGGAAAUGAACUUCGCUGUGAGAUAGGCAUGCGUCCCAUUAGCUAGUUGGUGAGGUAACGGCUCACCAAGGCGACGAUGGGUAGGGGAACUGAGAGGUUGAACCCCCACACUGGUACUGAGACACGGGCCAGACUCCUACGGGAGGCAGCAGUGAGGAAUAUUGGUCAAUGGGCGAGAGCCUGAACCAGCCAAGUCGCGUGAAGGAUGACUGUCUUAUGGACUGUAAACUUCUUUUAUACGGGAAUAACAAGAGUCACGUGUGGCUCCCUGCAUGUCCGUAUGAAUAAGCAUCGGCUAACUCCGUGCCAGCAGCCGCGGUAAUACGGAGGAUGCGAGCGUUAUCCGGAUUUAUUGGGUUUAAAGGGUGCGUAGGCGGCCUGUUAAGUCAGCGGUGAAAUCUAGGAGCUUAACUCCUAAAUUGCCAUUGAUACUGGCGGGCUUGAGUGUAGAUGAGGUAGGCGGAAUGCGUGGUGUAGCGGUGGAAUGCAUAGAUAUCACGCAGAACUCCGAUUGCGAAGGCAGCUUACUAAGGUACAACUGACGCUGAAGCACGAAAGCGUGGGUAUCAAACAGGAUUAGAUACCCUGGUAGUCCACGCAGUAAACGAUGAUAACUGGGCGUAUGCGAUAUACAGUAUGCUCCUAAGCGAAAGCGUUAAGU